Molecule: ribosomal RNA, 433 nt
Filed under: uncultured bacterium
Lineage: Bacteria
Description: partial 16S ribosomal RNA
Rfam family: Bacterial small subunit ribosomal RNA
Source: RNAcentral
AACAAACGCUGGCGGCAUGCCUAGCACAUGCAAGUCGAACGAGACCUUCGGGUCUAGUGGCGCACGGGUGCGUAACGCGUGGGAACCUGCCCUUAGGUUCGGAAUAACUCCCCGAAAGGGGUGCUAAUACCGGAUAAUGUCUUCGGACCAAAGAUUUAUCGCCUUUGGAUGGGCCCGCGUUGGAUUAGCUAGUUGGUAGGGUAAAAGCCUACCAAGGCGACGAUCCAUAGCUGGUCUGAGAGGAUGAUCAGCCACACUGGGACUGAGACACGGCCCAGACUCCUACGGGAGGCAGCAGUGGGGAAUAUUGGACAAUGGGCGAAAGCCUGAUCCAGCAAUGCCGCGUGAGUGAUGAAGGCCUUAGGGUUGUAAAGCUCUUUUACCCGGGAUGAUAAUGACAGUACCGGGAGAAUAAGCUCCGGCUAACUCCGUG